Molecule: ribosomal RNA, 107 nt
Filed under: Acanthosepion pharaonis
Lineage: Eukaryota; Metazoa; Mollusca; Cephalopoda; Sepiida; Sepiidae
Source: RNAcentral
AUGGCCAUGUUACGUUGAAACACCAGUUCUCGUAUGAUCACGAAAGUUAAGCAACAUUGAGCUUCGUCAGUACUUAGACGGGUGACCGCUUGGGAAUACCAGGUGCU